Molecule: ribosomal RNA, 2901 nt
Filed under: Pasteurella multocida
Lineage: Bacteria; Pseudomonadati; Pseudomonadota; Gammaproteobacteria; Pasteurellales; Pasteurellaceae
Description: 23S ribosomal RNA
Rfam family: Bacterial large subunit ribosomal RNA
Source: RNAcentral
GGUUAAGUGACUAAGCGUACAGGGCGGAUGCCUUGGCAAUCAGAGGCGAUGAAGGACGUGCUAAUCUGCGAAAAGCUUGGAUGAGUCGAUAAGAGGCGUUUAAUCCAAGAUAUCCGAAUGGGGAAACCCAGUAGAUGAAGAAUCUACUAUCAAUAAAUGAAUACAUAGUUUAUUGAGGCGAACCGGGAGAACUGAAACAUCUAAGUACCCCGAGGAAAAGAAAUCAACCGAGAUUCUGUGAGUAGCGGCGAGCGAAAGCGGAAGAGCCAGUAAGUUUUAGCUAGCGUAUUAGAGGAAUUGGCUGGGAAGCCAAAUCAAAGAGGGUGAUAAUCCCGUACUCGAAAGUAUGGUAGUGGAACUAAGCUUACGAUAAGUAAGGCGGGACACGAGAAAUCCUGUUUGAAGAUGGGGGGACCAUCCUCCAAGGCUAAAUACUCCUGAUUGACCGAUAGUGAACCAGUACUGUGAAGGAAAGGCGAAAAGAACCCCGGUGAGGGGAGUGAAAUAGAACCUGAAACCCUGUACGUACAAGCAGUAGGAGCGAGGGCAACCUUGUGACUGCGUACCUUUUGUAUAAUGGGUCAGCGACUUAUAUUUUGUAGAGGUUAACUGAAUAAGGGAGCCGAAGGGAAACCGAGUCUUAACUGGGCGUUGAGUUGCAAGGUAUAGACCCGAAACCCGGUGAUCUAGCCAUGGGCAGGUUGAAGGUUGGGUAACACUAACUGGAGGACCGAACCGACUAAUGUUGAAAAAUUAGCGGAUGACUUGUGGCUGGGGGUGAAAGGCCAAUCAAACCGGGAGAUAGCUGGUUCUCCCCGAAAUCUAUUUAGGUAGAGCCUUGAGCGGACACCUUCGGGGGUAGAGCACUGUUUCGGCUAGGGGUCCAUCCCGGAUUACCAACCCGAUGCAAACUGCGAAUACCGAAGAGUGAUACUCAGGAGACACACGGCGGGUGCUAACGUUCGUCGUGGAGAGGGAAACAACCCAGACCGCCAGCUAAGGUCCCCAAGUCUAUAUUAAGUGGGAAACGAAGUGGGAAGGCUUAGACAGCUAGGAUGUUGGCUUAGAAGCAGCCAUCAUUUAAAGAAAGCGUAAUAGCUCACUAGUCGAGUCGGCCUGCGCGGAAGAUGUAACGGGGCUCAAAUAUAGCACCGAAGCUGCGGCAUCAGAAUUUAUUCUGUUGGGUAGGGGAGCGUUGUGUAAGCGGAUGAAGGUGGCUCGAGAGGGUUGCUGGACGUAUCACAAGUGCGAAUGCUGACAUAAGUAACGAUAAAACGAGUGAAAAACUCGUUCGCCGGAAGACCAAGGGUUCCUGUCCAACGUUAAUCGGGGCAGGGUGAGUCGGCCCCUAAGGCGAGGCUGAAAAGCGUAGUCGAUGGGAAACGGGUUAAUAUUCCCGUACUUGGUAAAGCUGCGAUGUGGGGACGGAGAAGGUUAGGUAAGCGGACUGUUGGAUAUGUUCGUUUAAGCAGGUAGUUGGAAAGGGUAGGCAAAUCCGCUCUUUCAUACAACAACGAGACGUGAUGACGAGGCUCUACGGAGCUGAAGUUACCGAUACCCGGCUUCCAGGAAAAGCCACUAAGCGAAAGGCUUUACUAAACCGUACUGAAAACCGACACAGGUGGUCAGGUAGAGAAUACUCAGGCGCUUGAGAGAACUCGGGUGAAGGAACUAGGCAAAAUAGCACCGUAACUUCGGGAGAAGGUGCGCUUACAGUAAUUGUAGUCCCUUGCGGAUGAAGGUGAAGUAAGUCGAAGAUACCAGCUGGCUGCAACUGUUUAUUAAAAACACAGCACUCUGCAAACACGAAAGUGGACGUAUAGGGUGUGAUGCCUGCCCGGUGCUGGAAGGUUAAUUGAUGGUGUUAUCGAAAGAGAAGCUCCUGAUCGAAGCCCCAGUAAACGGCGGCCGUAACUAUAACGGUCCUAAGGUAGCGAAAUUCCUUGUCGGGUAAGUUCCGACCUGCACGAAUGGCAUAAUGAUGGCCAGGCUGUCUCCACCCGAGACUCAGUGAAAUUGAAAUCGCCGUGAAGAUGCGGUGUACCCGCGGCUAGACGGAAAGACCCCGUGAACCUUUACUAUAGCUUGACACUGAACAUUGAAUUUUGAUGUGUAGGAUAGGUGGGAGCCUUUGAAGCAGUGACGCCAGUCAUUGUGGAGGCGACCUUGAAAUACCACCCUUUAACGUUUGAUGUUCUAACGAAGUGCCUGAAACGGGUACUCGGACAGUGUCUGGUGGGUAGUUUGACUGGGGCGGUCUCCUCCCAAAGCGUAACGGAGGAGCACGAAGGUUUGCUAAUGACGGUCGGACAUCGUCAGGUUAGUGCAAUGGUAUAAGCAAGCUUAACUGCGAGACAGACAAGUCGAGCAGGUGCGAAAGCAGGUCAUAGUGAUCCGGUGGUUCUGAAUGGAAGGGCCAUCGCUCAACGGAUAAAAGGUACUCCGGGGAUAACAGGCUGAUACCGCCCAAGAGUUCAUAUCGACGGCGGUGUUUGGCACCUCGAUGUCGGCUCAUCACAUCCUGGGGCUGAAGUAGGUCCCAAGGGUAUGGCUGUUCGCCAUUUAAAGUGGUACGCGAGCUGGGUUUAGAACGUCGUGAGACAGUUCGGUCCCUAUCUGCCGUGGGCGUUGGAUGAUUGAUUGGGGCUGCUCCUAGUACGAGAGGACCGGAGUGGACGCAUCACUGGUGUUCCAGUUGUCUCGCCAGAGGCAUUGCUGGGUAGCUAAAUGCGGAAGAGAUAAGUGCUGAAAGCAUCUAAGCACGAAACUUGCCAAGAGAUGAGUCAUCCCUGACUUUAAGUCAGUAAGGGUUGUUGUAGACUACGACGUAGAUAGGUUGGGUGUGUAAGUGUAGUGAUACAUUGAGCUAACCAAUACUAAUUGCCCGAGAGGCUUAACCAU